CUGAAGAGUUGCUGAGGCAGAACUGAAAUCAUGGCUCGCCUCAAAGAAGCAGCUGUAUUGGCCGCUAAUGAUGCCUCACACAGAAAGACGAUGCUCCUUUAACUCGGGGUUUUAAUGGGAAGUUUCUAAGCCUGAAACAACAGCUUCGGAUCUGGGUUGUGCCAUCAGCUGCUCGCAGCUACCACUGUCUUAUGCUUUAACACGGCUUGUUCGGGAAGAAUGGAAACUAAAGAGGCUUCUAACUACCUGUAACUGUUCCACCAGGAAAUGGAUCAAGUGUUUGUUCAGCCAGAUCCAGGUACUUGACCAUAACUGCGUCUUUGAUGAGCUAAUUAGAUGCUUUUCUCUAACUUUACAAUUUAUGCAUGAGCAAUAAUCGCAUAGCUGCCUUUUGGGUCCAAGUUUUGAAUUUAAAUGUAGCUGUUAAAGUCUAAUUAAAUAGUUGCUAGGGGAAGUUAACACAAAGGGGUAAAAUGUAAUAAUGACUUUGUUUUUAAAGCAUGCUUAACUUUAUUAUGGUACUGAUACUGGAUAAAGAAGUAGAAAAACAGGCUUUUUUUCUUUUCUAAGCUGCAGUAAAUUAUUCUUGAAAGCUGUUUGCCCAUUACAGAUCUUCUCUCUCCCUUGUUUACUUAAAACAUCCAACCUUCCAAAAGGCAAUAAGAGUGUUUUGAUUUGUUUAAAAAAGAAUCACAACUCAACAACUCUUAAUGAGAGCCUGACUGUCCCUGGGUUAUGAGCAGUGGGUAGCUCUAGCCUUUUGAGGUAUCUGCAAGCAAUCUUUUUCACUGCGAAACACACAAGGACAGAAACAGAAAACAGGUAGAAAUGAAGGGUUCAUUAUUUGAAGUUAAAAGUCCCAGUUUGCUAAGAGUAUCUUUAGAAAGUAUGCAUUACUGCCUGGCCAUCCUUAUGGUAUUUCUCUAAUGUUCUCAGCUGGACUGCAGUGUUGCCCUGCAGUUCCUUUAAAACUCUCCAAGCAGGUGUUAGGAAAAAGAGGAAGAUAGAGAAGAAGCAUAGCUGAGGUUGGGACUCCGGUUGAAGAGGAAGAUCCCCUAUUGACCCAGAGGUGACAAGCAGCAGUGAGUUAGGAAGGAGAGGGUCUACUCCCAGACCCAAGCAGCUGUGUCUGCAGGCUGACUUUGCAGGGAUGAGCAGAGAACAGCCCUCCCAGUGCAGUAUUAGGUGCUGGCAACAGCUCCCAAACUGCCUGUUGACAUUUGUAACUGAACACACAUCAUGUUUUAAAAAUUAUUAUUUGUGGGCUUUCUAGUGGCCUUAGGUCUACUAUUUGAGCAUGUUAAAUAACAUUCACCCUUAGCCAUUCUGUGAAUUUGGAAGCAUCAGGGUGAUUGUAUUGGAGUUUUAUUUGGAUAAAAAGAAUGUAGACAUUGCCUUAUAUUUAUAUGAUUCAAAAAUAAGGGAGGAGGAGGAGAGGGUGUGGGAAGAUUUACAAUGAAUGAAGCCCCUAAAAAGGGCCAGAAAAUCUUUACCUGAAGUUCUUGACUGGUCACCAGGGCCAUGUAUUUUUUUUUAAUUUAUAUGAAACAUUUUGUAUCUUUAUUUGUGUAACCUGAAAUGCAAAUUCUUGAUCACUGAGCUAAUAUGCAGGAUUUCCAAAGGAUCAUAGGGGAAUAACUUUUGCUUAUGUAGUGAUUUGAUUACUUAGAUGAUGCAGUGGCUUCUGUGGAGGGCUCACGAUUGUUGGGGCGAUGUAUGGGGUAGCCUGAGGUUCGAACACCUGGGUGGAUGAGUGGGUUGAGAGUGAGGUGUACCUAGAGAGUCAGUAGUUCUACAAACAGGAAUGCAGCUAAGGCUUCCUUUAGCUCAAAAAGUAUCCAGUGGUUCUAUUUACCCUCCCUGUAAUGGGUGGGAUCCUAAAAAUAAAAUUCCAUACAGGAAUGCAUUACUAUAUGGAAAACCAUGUAGCCAUUUCAACAGUCAGCUUCAGAACUGUUCUAGAAAAAUGUAGCACUUUGUGGAAGUUUCUCUCUUCUGGUCACUGCAAAUUUAGUUCUGACUAGCUAGCCAAUGCCCUUCCUGUUAGUCUACAGAUUAGUCUCAUUAGUCUGCCAGGUAAAUGUAAAUAAGGUGCACAGAAUGUCUUUGUAGGACAAAGUGUCCUGUCAAUGUAAACUGGACAAGCCCAGGAGUGUUCUUGCUCAAUGGAUGGGCUGUUUUUUACGCCUACUUUUAAAAACAUGUCAAGUCACGGAAUUAAGUUUUUGGCCUAGAAGUUUUAAAAAUUAGGUAUAGCAAUUAUGUGAUUUAGGAGUACUUAAAAUACAGGCAACAUUGCUUAACUGCACUCUUCUUGCCAUUAACAGCAGAAGGAUGACAACUUUUAACUCAUUCAAACAUGUAAGAGAAAUACUUGGUCCCUCUUGCAUCCUUUGUAGGAGAUGGGGGUGUCACUCUUUUUAUUACUGGUUUUUAUGAUUUGGGGCAGUUUAUAAAUCUCCAUUCCUUUCUGUGCUUGGUUGCAUAAUAGAGAUUAGAAAUAAAUCUCAUUUUGCAUAAAAAUGAUAGAGAAAACACUCAUAUAUUAGCACUUGGUUAUUAAAUACCCACUCUGUGCUCAACAGGGUUGCACAUGUACUGCAGCUGUGGUCACUGUAACACAUUCCAUGAGGGUGAGCCCUUGAGUCAAUGACCACAAAAGUAAGGAGAGAACAAGGUGCCAAAUGCACUUAACUGAUUCUGUUUCUGUCUCUUUAACAAUAAGAAAAGAGGCAAGUCAUUGCUUUAGGAUGUACUUUCUUCAUAAAAAGCACUUUUCCCUUCUGUGAAAUUAUGUAAUGAGAUGUUAAUGAAAUAAAAUGUCCAAGGUAUCCGAGCCAGAGCAGGGUAUGUGUUGACAUGAAUAACUUCCACACACAACUUUAGGAUUUAGUGUAUUUUAAACGGCCGCCCCUCCCAACCACAGAACAGACUGGGUACAAAUGGACUGACCUCUUCAAUAGAAGGGUAACUGCCUAUCUCUGGCUGAUCUUUAUUUUUAGGAUCCCACCCAUCUGUAUUGCAGCCAAGGAAAAUUUAAAGAGCCAAAUAACUUAUAGCUUUUCAAAUCAUGAGAGCUGUGACUAUUAAAGUGCCAUUGUGACCCAAGCUAGCUAUGAUUCUUUGAAACAAGAUCUCUUUCUCAUACUGGGUCUGACAUCCCAGUUCGACUGAAUGACUUUUACUUCCCCCCGACCCCCAUCAUUGUAUCAGUUAGCUGGCACCUUGAAUUUUGAGUUCAGUUCUCUGGAUUUUAAGGGGCAGAGAUUUGAUUCAGCCUAUCUUCAAAGAAGCAGUGACCCCAGAAUGGCAAGCAGUUCUUCAAGGAGCUUGUUAUUUAGUAAGAGGAAGGUGUUGUUUAGUAAGAGGAAGUGACAGCUCAUCUAGACUUGUCACUGAUCAAUGCUGCCCGAGUGUAGGAAAUCUCUGGAGGCAGAGCAGGGAGCACCCCAUCCUCUCUGAGGGGGAUACAUAAGAUCCCAGGAAGGAGCGGAUAUUUGGUGACAACUCAGAAGGAGGGGGAGGACCCCCCAGAAGUGGGAAGAGGAGGAGGCAGUGAGCACUAUGAGGUGGGAGCCUGUAGGUGUUGGAAGACCAGCAGGUGAGAUGGAGCCAGGGAAGGGGCAAGAUGAAGCCCUUCUCCUUAGGUGCCCCAGAGUCAAUUACAUAUACAUUUAUUCUCAUCAAUACUUUGGUCAUUUUACUGGACACCAUAUGUGAUUUGACAUUUGUUCCUUUUUAAACUUAUGAAAAUAGAUUAACAUCUUAGAAAACUCCAUAAGAGUGUGUCUGCUCAGUGGUCCUGGAUGCAUCAGGGCAUCAGGUGCCCAGGGGGUUAUUGGGCUAUGGACACUGGGGUACAUGGGUCUUCUGGAGGAGGAGUGGUAAGAUCUGAGCUUCGGACAAUGGACCAGGAUGCAAUAUGUAGAAAGUACAGGCAAAGGAAGAGGAACACACUGAAAUUACUGAAAUUAAAGCAAGUGGCUAAGAGAGAGAAUGGCUACGGCAAAGAUGAACUGCUUACACGGGGAUUCCUGAGUAAUUCAGGGUGUUUCACACUUUGUCUGUAUUGUGGAGUCCACAGAGCUUGACUUGUGAAAAGAAGAUGUGUUUUAUGAUUUUUAAAAUGGGAUCUUUUAAUUUAGGUUUUCUUGGUCCAGUAUUAAAAUUAGACUUUAUUUUCUGAGCACACACAAAUGGACCCAGCCAAGGGAAGACACAGAUGCACUGCGUGAUGGGCAAAGCCAGUCAAGAUUAAAAUACUGCCGUGAGUAACUGUGGUCCUUCUUUAUACUUUAAAAUAACUGCCAUUUGUUAUUAGCAAGUCUUAUGAUGGUCAUGUCAAAAUCUUUUUUGAAAUGAUUUAUUUUCACUGUUCAUAUAAAAGAAAGAUUUCAUUAUUUAGCUAAAAACAAUCACGAACAUUCUCUAAGAAUCAUUUUUUUUUUAUCAAAGAGAAACAUUUUACUUUGAGACACAUUUUUAAAUUUAUGUGUCUUUGAAUGUUUUCAUAUUGUGAUAGCCAAGUGAUUAAAUUUAUUUCUUUUUCUCAAUCUUAAUCUGAUGCUUCCUUUAACUUGAACAUGUUGUUGAGCUUUCUAAAUUUGUAAAUUAUUCACUAGCUGAUUAUAGGUUUAAAAUCAAGCAGACUCUUCCAGGGAAUUCAAAUAGUCCUAAGCAAAAUUGUGAAGAAGUGGCAUUUGUUUCUGGAUCUCUUUAUCCUUUUACCCAUCUUUAACCAGCUCCUGGUCAUUUCUCUCUUUCUACCUGUCAUCUUUCAUCCUUCCCCAGGUCUCUCCUGUUGGGCCACCUGCUCAUGGUACCCAUGUUUCCCCCAUCCUUCUCCUUUCUAGCAGCCCCUCAUUCCCAACAAGAUCUUCCUUUUAUCUACUAUAUUUCCUUUCUCCAGUCUCCUACUUACCACAUUUCACAGUCCUCACUGACAAAUCCCUGCUAUUAUGUUAAUGUGUCACUUUCCUUGGUAAAACACUGCAAUUUAAUAGGAGGCUUUGAUUAUUUAACCAAAAGAAGUUAUUUUAGUGAGAACUUGAGCACCGUGGUAUACCUGAAGGAGGAGAGGUUUACAAUUCACAGUGUGCUAUAGAGUUUUCAAAAUGCUCAAUUUGGUUUAUCUGGAAGGGGCUAGGGAUGAAAGAAUGUAUUUAUUAGCAGGCUUCUGAAAAUGUGGUCAGAUUGCAAGGAAGGCUUAGCUAUACUUUCACCUCUUGAAAUUAAUUGAUUAAUUAAUUAAAAUGUGGUGCUGGGAUUGAAUCAGGGUGUUGCACAUGCUAGGUAAGUGUUUUAUCAUGGAACCAUAUCCUCCCACCAUCUCUUGCCUUUUAAUAAGCAAAAGGCGGUAAGACUGCAUAUUAAAACUGAUUUUUAAAUCAUCCUGAUAGUUGGCAUUCCUGUGAAGAAAGUAAUUUCCAGAACGUUCUAGAGGAAACCUGAAGAGGGAGAUGUGGCAGAUGAUCCAAAUCAGAACAAUUAGGCGAUUUGCUGGGGCCUCUGGAUUGUUUGCCAAUCACUGUAGCCCCCAAACAAGUGGUGUAUAGACUCUAGGUCCUGAGCUAUGGGCUAAGCCCAGAAAGUAUGAGAGUUGAUCUAGGAGAAAAGGGUUUGACAUUUUGUCCUGUGUGCAGGAGGAGGCUGGGAAAGACUGCUCCUGGAUGUCAGGGUGGCUCUGAUCACAGAGACCAGGGGUGGGAAGGAGGGACUGAACAAGGUAUUACAAUGUGAGUCAGCUAGCUCAUGGCUGGGGUCAUUCUCACGGGCCCUAGAACUCUGUCCAGCUCUUCCCUAUUUUCACUGGAUUCCACAGAUCCCCAAAUCCUGAUAUUAUAAAUUUAUAUAGUUAAUGGUCUUUGCUUUUCCUGCAUUUCCUUUUUUGGAUUAUGUAGUUUAUUUUUCUCCCUUAAAAUCUGUCUGGAAAUGCAUACCCAUCUAAGCUCUGUUCAGAAGAGACAAAGGAAAGGUCUCUGACUUCCUCUGAAAUGAAGGAAAAAAAUAGAGAUAGAAUGGGAUUCUUGUAAACCAACAAGCAGAGCAGGGUCAAAGUGAGGUGAACCUUCACGGGACACAAACAGGCAAGAAGGGACAUGUUAGGGAUGGCUGAGGCUUGAGCACCUCCCUUAUCAGAUGGCUUUCCCUUGUGCCAGUCUUUGGAGAAUCUUAUAAUUGGAAUGAUUAAGUCCAGCAUAAGUAUUUUUGGUGGCUACAGAUGGCCCCGGUCUGAUAUGCUGAGGAAGCUGCAUUGGAGGGUCUGGCCACCUUUCCUGCUCCUUUCCUUUCUAGCCCAGUGGGAAUCAAUACCCAAAGAUAGGAGGAUGCUUAAAAACAAGAAAAUCUGAACCAAACCCCAUUUAUAACAUCCUCCACAUUCUUUUUUUUUUUUUAAAAAAAGAUUUAUUUUUUUAAACCUUUAUUUAUUUUUAUAUGAUGCUGAGGAUUGAACCUAGCGCCUCACACGUUAGGCAAGCGCUGUACCACUGAGUCACAACCCCAGCCCCAUCCUCCACAUUCUUAAGAAGCUUAAAAGUAUCACUAGUUGGCAACUCCUUUCUCCCAGAUAGGAGUUGAUAUCCCUUUGGUAAAUUGCUUUUUAAAGUGUGAUUCUAUAGACUUUUAAGAGUCCACUUACAUGCACACUGUAAUUGUGAUUACUAUUGCUGUACAGAGGACAGUGAUUCUAAGUUGAUGGAAGAAAUGUUUUCAUUCUUUAGGUCAUAAUUUCUUUCUUUAUUUGGUUGCUUACUUUCUUUGAGCAUAAUUUCUUCGGACCCAUGUUAGUUUCUAUAGUUAACUCUGUUAUGUAAUUUUUCUCACAAAUUCAUAAUAAUUAUGUCCAUGUGACUUUCUAUAUGAUAGUGUCUAAAAUGAAUGCUUUUUUCUUACAGAAUUUAAGUUUAUUUAGUUCAGUACCUUUUAAUGACUUUCAUUUAUUGUUUUAUUUGCCUUUAAAAACAAAUAGGAAGUCAGGCACAUACUUGUAAUUCCAGAGACUAGGGAGGCUGAGGCAGGAAGAUUGCAAGUUUUGAGGUCCACUUCGGCAACUUAGCAAGGCUCUAAGCAAUAUGGCAAGACCCCACUUCAACAGAAAAAGUUAAAAAAAAAAGCUGGGGAUGUGGCUCAGUGGUAGUGUCGUCCCAGGUCCAAUCCCCAGUAACACAAAACAAACAAAAACAAAACAAAAAAUGCAAAACCUAGUAAUAUCCAAGUGCCUCAUUUUUUUUUCUCCAGUUUUUCCUUCUCUCUCUUUCUACCAGAUGGACUUAAAUGCAGGAAGCCACUGCCAAGAAAACUGUCCUUUUAAUAAUAUUCAGUCGAUUAAAUCCUUUUCCCCAGCUCAGUUCUCUAGGUGCUUCCCAGGGUCAAGUAUUGAACUUGGUCUUUGUUUUUGAAGAAGAAAGUAAAAGCAGCAGUAACUUGAUGGUUUGGGAGUCUGAGAUGCCUCCUCCCUUGGCUCAGGCAGCAGAAAGCAAAGGAGAAGCAUUGUGGAUUCCUUAGGGCUGCCUUAGUGCAGGGGAGACUUUGUUGUCUUUUUUCUUCUUCUUUGUACACCUUUCAAAGGGUUUCCAUGGUCAUUCAUUUAUAUCAUAGCACCAUGAGAUAUGAGGCAUUUCUAAAUGUUUACAGCUUUGUGACCUCUCCAAGGUCCCAAACUCAUGUAGCAGUGGAAUGGAAGCCAGAGCCCAGAACCUAGAACACAAAGCUCCCUGAGAGAGUUUCCAUAUGAAGCACUUCUUUUUGCCUCUGUUUCCUGAUACUUGGAAAUUAUACUUGAAAACAGAAGUCUCUGCUUUCAGGGAGGCUGUAGUAGAGUGGCUAAUAUAUGUUGAGUUUAGCCACAGUCCUAGCACAUAGCUGGUGCUCACUUAAUAGAACUGUUAUAAGAACGAUUUGACAGUAAUAUAACUGGGGGGAGCUAGGGGAUUCUUGGCAGGGUGGCAGGGCUUGGGUGUCAAGUUGACAGAAGACCCGGAGGUCAAUAUUAAUUUUCACAUUUCUCAUCUUCGAUAUUAUAGUUGUCUUCCAUGCCCAUCCGUCCUGACCUUAGGUGGCCAUUCUGAGGACAAUCUGGUAAUUUCAUGUAAGAGGAAAAUAUUCUUGCCCAUAAUUAUACAUAAUUAAGCAUAUCUGGUGAAAAAGAAAGCUGGUUUACAGAUUUAUACUCUCUGAAAAACAUGACUGUGGAUAUAUAAAAUGAAGUUGCUAUUUGAUAGUUAUUCCCUCUCCUUCCUUUUCCUUCUUCCUGAAGACACCUCAGCCUCGCCAGAGUGCAGCCACCAUGAUCUCAGCAGACUGAUGAUGGAAGAGAAGGGAACCAGGAGAUCCUGUGCUUGGCUUUCUGUGGACAAUGGAUGGAGGGCAGCCCAUCCCCUCGCCCCUAGUGCCCCUUGGGAACGUGUCAUCAGAAUCUAGCAUGUCUCUGGAGCAGAAAACAACAUUUGUUUUUGUGAUUUUAUUGUUUAUUUUCUUGGGCAUCCUCAUUGUCAGGUGCUUCCGGAUUCUUCUGGACCCAUAUCGGAGCAUGCCGACCUCUACCUGGGCUGAUGGACUUGAAGGCCUGGAGAAAGGGCAGUUUGACCAUGCCCUUGCUUAGCAGGGGCAGAGCAAGAUCUUCUCCUGAGAAGAAGAAGAGGUGAAGUGCUUCAUAUCUGCGCAAAGAUUCCCUUUAGUCAAUGUUCUGAACAAAUUUUAACAAUAUCUUAUCCUAGGACCACCACUCAUUAUUUCAUAAGCAUGCCAUUGAGUUAGUCUUAUUUGAAGAUAUUGGAAAUGAAAGUUUGUAUUGAUAACCAAAAAUAGGAAUGUUUAAAUAUCUGUGUUUUAUUCAAUGAAUGUAUAUUGUUGAAUGCAAUUGUGAAACCCAGGGCACCAAUACUGAUAUAGACUGCUAUGAAAUAAAGCCCUACUGAGCUGAACAGAGAGGAAAACUAGAGAGGUUCUGUUAGGAACCUGGUUACAGGGCCAGGAAGAGACUGCCUUGCUGUAAUCAUGCCUCUCAGUUUCUUACUUCAUGGGCAUCUGGGUCCUGUGCAGAGGGAGGAAGACACUGAUGAGAGGACCCCAGUUGGGUAUUUGUUUCCUUCUAGAGUACAGCCCUGGGAAGCCACGGGAUGCUCAAGCCAAGAGAUGGUACUGUCCUUGCAAAAUAUGAGUGAGAAUGAUAGCACUUUAUUUUUCAAAUAAAACUGAAUUCAUAAGCUAUAGAGUUUCAAACAAUAUUUACCAAAGUAUGUUCUCUAUUCAUAUUAAUAACAUGUGAAGCUAUACAUAAGACGAAUUUCCUUUCUUUACACUGAUGAUUGAAUUAAUAGGUUGCAAGUGCUGCUUCAAGUUUUUUUCCCUUAAUUAAAAGCUAAUUAUUUAGAGAAAAACAUUUUUACAGCUGUAAGAGGAAUGUGCAUUUACGAUUGCAUAUAGCCACCAAAUAAAACUUUUUAAGAAGCAGCAUCGUCUCCUCUCACUUCACCAAGAUUAACACAUGGGUGGAGAGCCGUGCUGAACGCUGAGG
This 9517-nucleotide long non-coding RNA is filed under the name Marmota monax (woodchuck). Lineage: Eukaryota; Metazoa; Chordata; Mammalia; Rodentia; Sciuridae. The record is from RNAcentral.